Molecule: long non-coding RNA, 8870 nt
Organism: Phyllostomus discolor (pale spear-nosed bat)
Lineage: Eukaryota; Metazoa; Chordata; Mammalia; Chiroptera; Phyllostomidae
Exons: 3
Source: RefSeq, a predicted model, not a curated record
CUGCCAUUUUUUAGUCUCAUGCUUUCCCAUGGAUGAUACUAGCACUGACAUUUGUCACUGAGCACCUCUUUCCCCAGAGACCUCCUGGUGUGACUCACUGGGGGUUUCUGGAAGGAGUGGGCCCUUGGGAGUCUGAGGCAGCAGGAAGACUUGACCGGGGUCACAGUAGACAGUUGGUUGGGGUGAGGGAUGGAAGCCAGCUUUCCCCGCCCAGAGCACACAGGCAGCACCAGUCCCUUUGCGUCAUAUCUUUUUGAGCCUGAGUACAGAGCAACUUGACCUAAAAACAUUAUAUAUAUGUGGGUGUUGAAUCCUUUGAGUCUAAUAUUUCUUUGUCCAGAAGCUGUGUGUAUGAUGAGAGCCCACAUUCUGUACUUCAUAGAGCUCUGAUGUCCCUCAAGUUUGUUUUCUGAAAGAGCCGAUAGUUGGGCCCCCCUCGACGAGACCCUGUACCUCUGGUAGUGGCCCUUCUCCAGGACGAUGGACCAAGCAUCGUCUGUCUUGUGUGAUUGGACGGUGAGCAGCAUCUGAGGGCCAUGGUUUCAGGGCCACACCAUAACCCCAGGUGGGCCCCUGAGUGGAGCCUGCACAGUGAAUUGCUUGAGGUUGGCUCUGUAAACUGAGCCCACCUCUCUUCCUUUUGCUUCUUCCCUGCAGGGAACUCAGAAGAGCUUAGCUCCAGGUGUAAGUGACAACCUCUUGGAGACUCAGCUCAGCUGAGGAUGGUGUGGUAUGCAGAAGACAGCCGUCAUACCAUGGGAUAAUGUGUGCCCGUUUGCAUUUAUUUGGAACAAAAAAAAAAAGAUGUGUGGCAGCCUGGCUCUGUGCAGUGCUGCGAAGCCACAAACCGUUCCCUGCCAUCCUGUGACCGCAAGUGCUGAUUGAUGUGAUAGGAUCCCGGUCUUGUCAGUGACUCAUCGCCAGGCUGCUUAGUGGAAACCAGAUGCAGCACGGAGAAUAGGAUUUAACCCCUCUCCUGCCUCCCAGGUGUUCCCUGAGGAACGCUUAGGAUUGGACUGGGGGCAACACGCACGCACGUGUGAAGGUCCAUCCACCUGGAGCCCCUGAGCCCGGCCUCCGCUCGUGCAGAAGCCCUGCGAUGGGGAACCCAGGGGCGUUGUGUUGGUGGAUGAAGCCUUCGGGAAUCACGUGUGAAGGUUUGUCGUCUGGGACCCCGUUCAGUCUGCUCACCUGGGGGAAUGGGAAGGAUCACCGAACCUGCAGCAGGGAGGGUGACUUCAGGGAGAACCCUGGCAGCUUCGGCUUUGCCGAGGGCUCCCAAGGAAUGACGAGUCCUCUUUCUCUGAGGGAGGGGACUGGAGAGCCUUCCAGUCCGGGGGCUGUGGGACCCAGACCACCUGGAGCAGCGUGAGGUUUGGGUGCCGGGAUCCAGGGUGCGCUGCACUCUGCGUCUUCCCUUCCUACCUUUGAGGUGAGCCUAAGCUGGGGGGUGGGGGACACACAAGCCGGAGGCUCGGAGCCCUCACCUUGUGCCCCUUGCAGAGACAGCUCCUGGAACUGACCCUAUAGGGCUGAUUUUACUUGCAAAUAAAACAGGACAGAGGCAUGUUGCCCCUCAUCCCUACCGGGAAAGAGCCCUGAGCUGCUCUAAGCCUCAGGGACCUCUUUGCACCACCACUCUGACUUCCCGCAGCCCUAGGGACCUCUGCUCGGCAUUGGAGAUGGGGGGGGGUGGGACAGGAGGCAGGGCCAGACAUGGUUUGCUGGGAAGAAGGUAAGAGUUAGAAGAGGAAUACCUCAAGCAGGUCCACAGCUCGGGGAACACUGGCGUUACCUGCUGUGCUGAAGCCACAGCUGUGGGUUCAAAUGGGCAUACUAUUUGGAGGAAACCCAAGGUCUUAAAUAACCCAGUUAAUGGUUAAAUGAGGGUUGUAUUAAAUAUGGAGAACCAUAUAUCCUCUUUUGUUAUCACUCCUGCAGCUUUGGCUUUGAAUGGCCUGACAGGUCAGGGGCAUUUCAGGGGUCCCUCAUGUCUGUGUAAGAUCAUGCUUCUUUUAAGUUGACUUUUUGUCUCCUUUCUUUUCUGGUUUUGCUCUCAUUCAUUCCUUAAGUAUACAUGAAUAUUUGCCCAUUCGUUUGUGGUGUUAUUUGGGGGCGGGGGCUAGUGUAUUGCUUUUAUUUCGAAUGUGAACAAACCACAAGCUCACUGCAGAGAUGAGCCGUCUCUGAGAUGGGGCAGGUGCCCGGCCCAGACAUCCAGACCCCCGGGAGGGGAGGAUCCGGAGUGUUUUUGCUAGGACUGCCUCUGCCUACGGCAGGCGGCCUCUGCGGGGUGGGGGCUGCUCAUGCAUGAAUCCCCAGGACAAUUUAGCUGUUUCUUCUUUUCAGUUUGAACCCUGAGGAUCAGCCUUGAAAGUCUGAGACCACGUGUCACCCUGCUAGGUUAGGAGGGGACAGGGCCAGGGAGGAAGGGAACACAGGCUGCUGGCAACUGGCCUUUCAAGACAGGUGAACUCUGUUCAAAAAGGAGUUUAUUUAAUCUUUUGGCCCUAAUGGAAGUUAUUUGUAUUUUCUCUCCCUCUCUCUUUUCUCCCUCAACUCAACCCCCACCCCCCCAACCCCGCGACCGGCCUCCAAAAGAAUUUAAUCUGCUGGACAACAAACAAUACUGUUAUAAAACUUGGAAAACAAGAGGGCGAGGCCUCCCUGACAAGAAGAAGGGCAUGCUGGGUAACAGCGAGGGAGCCUGCCAGGCGGGGAUGGUGCCGGGCGAGAGCCCAGUUGGCUGGGUACCUGGGCGCCCGCCCCUGCCUAGUCCCCCGGCCAUGCCAUCCCCAGUCCAGAGGGGAAGGAACAGAAAUGAAAGUGGGGGCAGAGAAACGCUUGAAAAGGGGAAGUUGUACGUGUUCUCCGGUCUCUGAUCUGAUGGGAAUGCACUAGACUGUGAAACUUCCUCCUCCACCUCCCGCCCCUCCCCCCUCCCUCCUUCCCUCCCUCUCCUCCCUCCCUCCCCUCCCCUCCCUGUCCUCCUGCCUCCUCCCACCAUGCACUGUUCCAGGUUCUGAGACUGGCAGACAGAGGCCGUGAUAACAGAAUGAGGCUGGCCUGGCGACGUAGGCACAGCCACCAGCCCAGGCAGCUUCAGGGCAAGCAGGAGAGGAAGGUGCUCGAGUUGGCUUUGGACUCUGGACCUACCCUCUGCCUGUCCAGCGUCCCUCCCCCCAACUAGGGAAGUGGAACCAUGUCACAGGGUGUGCCCCCGUCCAUGUGCUCAGCCAGGUGUGUGCCCAGGUACUGGGUAGAACCGCCGCUCGGAGGUUAGUGGUACGCCGGGCUUCCUGGUGCUGGCGGGGCCUUGCUCCCGGGAGGAUGUCUGAUUUGCAGAGAGGCCCUGCUCUCCCUCAGGAGCAGUGGGGGCUGCGCCACCAGCACAGGGCACGCCGAGGGGGGCCUGUGAGCGGGGUGCCCAUGGAUACCGUUGUCUGCUGGUUGCUCUGCCGGGGCAGGUGGGGAAGCAGGGCCCUGGGGCCUCUCUUCCUCAACCUCCAGAGUUAGAUUCCACCUGAGACUGAAGUUCACUUCCGAGUCCAUCUUUAAUGGGCCUGGGAGAUGAUUCAGUGGUUUUCCUCUGGAUCUGCAUUGGCUUGGACCUCGGGGCUGUGUGGUGGGCGGUGUGUUUGUGUACCAGAGGCACGAGGCGCGCUCCCUGCUCCUCCUGUGGAAAACACUGGUCAGGGCUGUGCCCGCCCUCCUUGGCCGGGGCUAAGCCAUUCCCUGGGGCCAUGGUGACUUCCAUGCUCCCACCUUCCCUCUGUCCCUCCUCCUUUCCUUGGCUCCCCACUGCCUCCGGCUGCUUCCCACGCCCUACUGUGGGGUGGGGGCAGGGUAGGCAUGGGGGGCAUCCUCCCCUCCAGCCAGCCUGCCUACCCCUGCAGGGUUCCCUGCUCUGUACUGAGUGGGAAAUUUUCAGACCCAGGUUCUUGCUGGUGGUGUUGAGGAAGGGACAGAGAGCCUGGCUUUGUGGAGAGCCACUGCCGGGGGCCGCAGGUCUGCGUGCCCGGCUUCAGGGGAACCCAGCACCGCUGAUGCUGGGCCCACCAAGCUGAGGAGGCUGUGGCUUCUUGCCCUGAAACCUCAGUGGGGUCUUGAGGGGCUCAGUGCUUCUGGAGCAUGUUAUUCCUGCUUUGGGAUCUGGGGUCUGGGAAGUGUGGUGGUCCCUGUAUGCUGAGCCCUCUUUUGGGGGCCGAGCUGCCCAAGAGAGAGAGAGCCCUUUCCACGUUCCCCUCCACCCCGGGCUCCCAUGCCCAUGCCCUUCAUUUUAUUAACCUUUCCUUUGAUUCAUUAACCGCAGCUAGUUGGCAGAGGCCUCACCCUGACGGCUUAAGACAAAAUGUCCAGGACAUGGGGCCUGGGCCGCAGCAGGGAGUGACAGGAAGCUGGGCCGGGCCUCUCGGUCCAUCCGUUCAGUGGUCUGGGACUGAAGGCAGAAUGUUCCCCUUUCAGAAGGGCCCCCCCAGGCCCUUCUCGCACCAGGAUGAUGCUUCCUCCCUGCCAGGAGCCUGAACCCAGCAUUCCCAGUGGCAGGAAGAAGGACGAUCUGGGCCCUGCUUCCGGCAGCCCUCCCCCGCUCUGGCUGGAGCGCUGGCUCAGUGGCGUAAGUAGCUGUGACUCAGCAUCCAGCCCUGUUGGGAGGGAGGAGCUGCUGCCUUGAAGGCACCUCUCUGCGUUCUGGAUUGGAGCACCUCGAGGUCUCACAGAACGUGGCAGCAGCAUUAGGGUCCCUGGGGGCGAAUAUCGUUUUGUUCCGUGGGUUUGGUUUUGGAUUUCAUAAACAAGAAUGCCUCCCCUUCCCAUUUUCUCCCAUGUUAUUUUUUGGGCACUGUGCCGCAUGUGAUAUUUAGGACUUUAAAGGAGACAGCAUCCUUUAUAGAGUGAAGUAGCAGCUCUCGUCACAGUCUCCAGACUGUUCUGUAACCAGUAGCAGUGAAUUGUAUUUAAAAAAAAACGUAUCUGAUUUUGCAUGCCUGGAGACAAAACGUGGCCCCUGCAGGUCACUCUGCUUCUGCCGGGCGCUGUCUUAAGUUCCCUGCUGGCCCUUGGAGCUCUGAACGUGCCGUGACCAGCCUGCCCGGCUUUCUCAGACGAACCCUCUGAGGCCCAUUCCAGGGAGGCUCUCACAGUUUGGGCCGAGCAGGAAGUGAGGCCACUGUGUCUGAUUCACUGCGUGAUGACCUUUCCUCCACACCGAGAAGUGUCCUGGUUGUGGGAGGGGGAGGGGCGGACAAACCUGCAAACAGAAUGUAGACACAGAAAUGCACCAGGGCUGCAGCUGGGCUCCCGAAGCCCUUUUUCUGCACAGUGGCACCUCCCAGGGCGACAGACCCACUCUUCUGGUGGGCGGUUUUUCUCUCCAGGCAGCCCACCCCGCCUGUUGCUGCUGGCCAGUGUGUUUGGGACCAUUAGGCCAGUGUGGGAGGAGCCUGCCACCCGCAGGUGACAGCUGAGCCCUCAGCAGGCUAGAGCUUUCCUGGGCUAGACCUGGGUGGCACUCACCCCCCCCCCCCCCAGCCCCCGUGCAGGUGGGCAAACCCCUUCCAGCCCUCAUCAGGCCACCGGCUCGAUCGAGGUAGGAAAGAAAAUCAGCAGCUUGUUUCAGGUGAGUCGUGGAGCAGCAGACCGAGAGGGAAGCCCGGCUCUGGUGGGAGAGCUGAGACCUGAACGGACCCUUUCAUCCAAUAGGAUUGGAAGGGCAGAAGGUUUGGGGACGAAGAUUACUCUCUUUCCCCUCUUUAGAGUGUUUACAGUGAUGCAUUGUUAAUGAUUUAUUUAUCUCUUCCAGAGAACUAAGAGUAUUUUGACCCAGAAGUUGGGAGCCCUAACUCUGGUUGGUGUCCCUUGGCUCCUCAGUGGGGGAGGCCACUGUGCUGUGGGCAGCCCCUCCUCCCAACUCCCGGCUGACGUUUCCCGGGUAGCAGGAGAGACAUUAAUUAAUCACCCUGAUGAUCAAAUGACAUAAGCGUGUUCUGAAGGAACAGAACUAAAUGCUGAGACGUGACUUAGCCGAAAGCUGGGCUGGGGGCCGGGUGGCGGAGCUUCCCUGAGCAAGAUCUGAAGGGGCGUCAGACCACCCAGGUUACGUGGGGAAGGGGGCUUGGCGGUGGGGGGUGGGGGGGGGGGCGCACAUUGACAUAUGGUAGCAGUGGGAGAGUGGAUGGAGAAUGUCCCAGACUGGGGACAGCAUAUGCAGAGGCCUUCUGGUGGGACGACGGGCACUGUCUGGGUCACUGAAGGGUGCCUGUUUGACACGGCAGCAUCUUAGGAAGGGGUUUUGUGGGUGCUGGCGAUUGGGAGUUGCUAAGGAAGAAGGGUUUGGCUGAAGUGAAAAGCAGAAAGACGGAGAAUUGGCAAAUGGAAAUCUGUCCAUUGUAUAAGAUUCAGACCCCAUGGUAAUGACUGUCAUUUGACCCUCACUCCUGACCUAAAAACCCUCGCAGUGAGCUGGCUGACAGGCCCCGGCUGUUGGGCAGGGCCAGCCCCAGCUCCCCACCUGCGGCCCAGGCCUUGCAAACCCCGAGGGCCGCAGAGCGUGGUGCUGCUGUCAGCAUCACUCGGGAGUCCUCACGGCCCUGGGGAGUUCAUCUCCAGUGGUGCCCACUCCCGCUGCCAUGCUGCGGGCCACUGCAAAGGCAGCAGAGGUGCAGGAGAACACAGCAAGCAGCCCACCUGCCCGGUCCCUGGCGGAACCAGGUGUGCUGCUGCCUCCACCGAGUUUAACGUGUAGUGUGGUCAGUGACAUCCCGCUUCCUUGUAGAAAUCGUGCCUCCGGUCCCCCUGCCCCUUCGCCCCACCCUGCUUAAGAUCAAGUUCAACAACAGCAUGAAGUGAUAGUCCAGCUAUGGAGCAGGCAGCGGAGGGGCAGGUACAGACUUCAGGGUUAGAUCUGGGAUCUUUAGCUAUUGAACCAUGCUAAGGAGCCAUUUCUUUGGCGAAAAUGGGAAUAUACCUGCUUCAAAUGGCUGUUGUGAGGGUUGAAGGGUAUAACCCAGUGUUCAGUUCAGAUGUUACCUGCUCCUCCUACCCCCUAGAGCAGGACACUCCUCUCCAGGAGCCAACAAAAUAUGAGCCUAUGUAGCCGGAGGCCUAAAGGAUGGGUAGGGAACCUGAAAGACAGAGAUUCCACUCUGUCUCCUUUUUCUCUCGGUUGUGGUCUCAGAAGACAGAGACAUGUUUUCUGAGCUUCGAACAACCAAAGAAUGUGAUGCAAUUAGGAGAUGGGACUUUUAACUUAAAUACGGUUUGAAAAUCUCAUAUUCAGGCAUAUUUUGAAAACACCACAAAUAAAAAAAAAAAAGCUCUGUGUUAGAGGACUAUCUGUUGUACUUAGUACAGUUGUAGGGCACCCCUUUUUUUGUGUCACACCAGAGGUUAGGUAAGAUUGCCAGUGUUCUCAUGCUUCCUUCUGUUUGGUGGGGCCCAUGUUCUUCCUGAGUAGGGCCCCAGGCGGUGGCCCUGGCCCAGGUGAAAGUCGCUCUGUGUGGUGGCUAGAGCCUCCCGGGCAGGUGGGGCUUGUUUCCUGGUGGGGCGGGAUGCUGUCAGAAGACCUCUUCCACACGGGGCACUGUCUCACAAACGCAGGGCCGUACUGAUGUAGAAAUGCGUUUUAAUAACAGCUCUGGCUCAUCGUCUCAUCGUGCGUGUGAUAAUCUGUAGGGACUGGUUGUGGCGUCAAAUUAACGUCGAGCUUACGGAUUUCAUUCCGCCGCGUCUGCGCAAGGCGUCAGCCGUGACCUGCAUCUCCGCGAGCGUGACCGGGACGCUCCUCUCUGCCUGUCGAGUGGUCCCGCUGCUGUGUGACGUCACGAGUGGAGCUGCAAGAAGCUGUUCUCCUCGGCGCAGAGGCUGGGUCUUCUGAUCGCCUCUCCCUUUUUGCUUCAGUGAGAUCCUCUUCUUCUGGAAGCUGGUUUCACAUGGUGGCUUAGAUUUUUCCAUCUUUGUAUCUAGCACCAUUUGAAAUCAGUGUUUUAGGAGUAAGAAUUGCAGCACAGCCAAGGGGCGACGGCAGCGGCGCUGCUGCUCUGGGGCCGGGCUCCUCCCGCCACCUGAGCCGGGUCCAGACGGAAGCGACGUGAAAAGCAAAGCUCGCUGUAGAGUGCGUUGGGUCUGGGGGUGACAGUGGGUGGGGAGGAGCUUGUGUUUGCAGUCACCUGGGGGUUUGAGCAGGGGCGGAGGCUGUGACACUCCUUCCGCUGUCAGGUAGCCAGAGUCCCCUGUCGGCAGGGCCUUUGAGCGCAGCGGUGGGCACUGCUGGGGUGGGGCCUUGGUUAUAACAGGGAAGGGGAGAGGACUGUGUGCCCAGAGGACUGCCCCGUCCACACUGGCACUGCCCACCUGCCCCUGGGCCCUGGGACAUGCAGCUGCGAUUGCAGAGCAGCUGACGUCAGACUUGCCACCUGCACCGUCGAGGUGUGGGAGCCCCGGAGCACCACCGGACCCAUCUCUUACACAGGCUGACCGAUUUCUCCUGGUGUUCAGAGUCUGUUUUUGUCUAGCACCAUUUGAAAUCGGUUAUGAUGUAGGGGGAAAAGCAGCAGCCUCGAAGCCUCGUGCCAAGUCUGCUCAGCAACAGCCUGUGGUUUCCUGGAAGACGGAUGGGCACAGGGUGGGGAGGGAGGUCACACUUUUUCCUACUAACUUCUUUAACUGCAUUUCUGAUACUUCAUUGCAGAGGUAGGAGAUGAUUUAUUGGGUUUUAAAAAACAGAUUAAUUUAUCCGAGGUCCUCAGUUGCAUUUUGCUGAAAUGUAUGCUGGUGUAAAUUCUAUAAAUUGGCUGCUUGUUGACUUACCUUUCUGUUAAGAAGAGACGAUUCAUGCAUCUGAACUUAAUAAAUAUUUUACUGUAUUCAGUUUA